UACGGAGGGGGCCAGCGUUGUUCGGAAUUAUUGGGCGUAAAGGGCGCGUAGGCGGCCGGAUAAGUCAGACGUGAAAUCCCUCGGCCCAACCGGGGAACUGCGUCUGAAACUUUUCGGCUCGAGUCCGGGAGAGGGUAGUGGAAUUCCCAGUGUAGCGGUGAAAUGCGUAGAUAUUGGGAGGAACACCGGUGGCGAAGGCGGCUACCUGGACCGGUACUGACGCUGAGGCGCGAAAGCCAGGGGAGCAAACAGG
Molecule: ribosomal RNA, 253 nt
Filed under: uncultured bacterium
Lineage: Bacteria
Description: partial 16S ribosomal RNA
Rfam family: Bacterial small subunit ribosomal RNA
Source: RNAcentral